This 253-nucleotide ribosomal RNA is filed under the name uncultured bacterium. RNAcentral's name for it is "partial 16S ribosomal RNA". It matches the Rfam family "Bacterial small subunit ribosomal RNA", at positions 524 to 776 of the family's 1533-position model. The record is from RNAcentral.
UACAGAGGGUGCAAGCGUUGUUCGGAAUUAUUGGGCGUAAAGGGCGCGUAGGCGGUGCGGUAAGUCUGUAGUGAAAUCUAUGGGCUCAACCCAUAGUCUGCAUCGGAAACUGUCGGGCUGGAGUAUGGGUGAGGUGAGUGGAAUUUCCGGUGUAGCGGUGAAAUGCGUAGAUAUCGGAAGGAACACCUGUGGCGAAAGCGGCUCACUGGACCAUUACUGACGCUGAUGCACGAAAGCUAGGGGAGCAAACAGG